Molecule: small nucleolar RNA, 69 nt
Organism: Chanos chanos (milkfish)
Lineage: Eukaryota; Metazoa; Chordata; Actinopteri; Gonorynchiformes; Chanidae
Source: RefSeq, a predicted model, not a curated record
CUGAAAAUGAUGCAUAACAUGUCGGCUGAUGGUUAGUGAUGGUGUAUGUAUUCAUACUGUCUGAUUCAG